This 253-nucleotide ribosomal RNA is filed under the name uncultured bacterium. Its description in RNAcentral is "partial 16S ribosomal RNA". It matches the Rfam family "Bacterial small subunit ribosomal RNA", at positions 524 to 776 of the family's 1533-position model. The record is from RNAcentral.
UACGAAGGGUGCAAACGUUGCUCGGAAUUAUUGGGCGUAAAGCGCACGUAGGCGGCCUAUCAAGUCGGAUGUGAAAUCCCUCGGCUCAACCAAGGAAGUGCAUCCGAAACUGGCAGGCUUGAGUACUUAAGAGGAUCGCGGAAUUCCCGGUGUAGAGGUGAAAUUCGUAGAUAUUCGCAAGAACACCAGUGACGAAGGCGGCUCACUGGCCCGAUACUGACGCUGAGGUGCGAAAGCGUGGGGAGCAAACAGG